GGACGAUUAGCUCAGCGGUUAGAGCAUCCGGUUUACAUCCGGGGGGUCGUAGGUUCGAAUCCUACAUCGUCCACCA
Molecule: transfer RNA, 76 nt
Filed under: Opitutia bacterium
Lineage: Bacteria; Pseudomonadati; Verrucomicrobiota; Opitutia
Also listed under: 1 other name
Description: tRNA-Val
Rfam family: tRNA
About the family: Transfer RNA (tRNA) molecules are approximately 80 nucleotides in length. Their secondary structure includes four short double-helical elements and three loops (D, anti-codon, and T loops).
Source: RNAcentral